AUACGGAGGAUGCGAGCGUUAUCCGGAUUUAUUGGGUUUAAAGGGUGCGUAGGCUGUGCGUUAAGUCAGGGGUGAAAUGCCGUCGCUCAACGACGGAGCUGCCCUUGAUACUGGCGUGCUGGAGUACGGAUGCCGUUGGAGGAAUGAGUGGUGUAGCGGUGAAAUGCUUAGAUAUCACUCAGAACACCGAUUGCGAAGGCAUCUGACGAAUCCGUCACUGACGCUGAGGCACGAAAGCGGGGAGAUAGAACAGGAUUAGAUGCCCUGGUAUUCCACGCCGUAAAGGAUGAUGGCGAAGCGGCGGCGAUAGACAGCCGGUGGCCAAGCGAAAGCGAUAAGUCAUCCACCUGGGGAGUACGGCGGCAACGAUGAAACUCAAAUGGAUUGACGGGG
This 393-nucleotide ribosomal RNA is filed under the name uncultured bacterium. RNAcentral describes it as "partial 16S ribosomal RNA". It matches the Rfam family "Bacterial small subunit ribosomal RNA", at positions 523 to 918 of the family's 1533-position model. The record is from RNAcentral.